Molecule: ribosomal RNA, 490 nt
Filed under: uncultured bacterium
Lineage: Bacteria
Description: partial 16S ribosomal RNA
Rfam family: Bacterial small subunit ribosomal RNA
Source: RNAcentral
AUUGAACGCUGGUGGCAUGCCUUACACAUGCCAGUCGAACGGCAGCAUGAUCUAGCUUGCUAGAUUGAUGGCGAGUGGCGAACGGGUGAGUAAUACAUCGGAACGUGCCCUGUAGUGGGGGAUAACUAGUCGAAAGAUUAGCUAAUACCGCAUACGACCUGAGGGUGAAAGUGGGGGACCGCAAGGCCUCAUGCUAUAGGAGCGGCCGAUGUCUGAUUAGCUAGUUGGUGAGGUAAAGGCUCACCAAGGCGACGAUCAGUAGCUGGUCUGAGAGGACGAUCAGCCACACUGGGACUGAGACACGGCCCAGACUCCUACGGGAGGCAGCAGUGGGGAAUUUUGGACAAUGGGCGAAAGCCUGAUCCAGCAAUGCCGCGUGUGUGAAGAAGGCCUUCGGGUUGUAAAGCACUUUUGUCCGGAAAGAAAUGGCUCUGGUUAAUACCUGGGGUCGAUGACGGUACCGGAAGAAUAAGGACCGGCUAACUACGUG